This 569-nucleotide ribosomal RNA is filed under the name Rhodotorula glutinis. Its description in RNAcentral is "eukaryotic LSU rRNA". It matches the Rfam family "Eukaryotic large subunit ribosomal RNA", at positions 47 to 628 of the family's 3401-position model. The record is from RNAcentral. Lineage: Eukaryota; Fungi; Basidiomycota; Microbotryomycetes; Sporidiobolales; Sporidiobolaceae.
UAAGCGGAGGAAAAGAAACUAACAAGGAUUCCCCUAGUAGCGGCGAGCGAAGCGGGAAGAGCUCAAAUUUAUAAUCUGGCACCUUCGGUGUCCGAGUUGUAAUCUCUAGAAGUGUUUUCCGCGUUGGACCGCACACAAGUCUGUUGGAAUACAGCGGCAUAGUGGUGAAACCCCCGUAUAUGGUGCGGACGCCCAGCGCUUUGUGAUACACUUUCAAUGAGUCGAGUUGUUUGGGAAUGCAGCUCAAAUUGGGUGGUAAAUUCCAUCUAAAGCUAAAUAUUGGCGAGAGACCGAUAGCGAACAAGUACCGUGAGGGAAAGAUGAAAAGCACUUUGGAAAGAGAGUUAACAGUACGUGAAAUUGUUGGAAGGGAAACGCUUGAAGUCAGACUUGCUUGCCGGAGCUUGCUUCGGUUUGCAGGCCAGCAUCAGUUUUCCGGGGUGGAUAAUAACGGUUUGAAGGUAGCAGUCUCGGCUGUGUUAUAGCUUUCCGUUGGAUACAUCCUGGGGGACUGAGGAACGCAGCGUGCUUUUUGCGAAAGACUCGUCUUUUUCACGCUUAGGAUGCUG